UGCAAGUCGAACGAGAUCUUCGGAUCUAGUGGCGCACGGGUGCGUAACGCGUGGGAAUCUGCCCUUGGGUUCGGAAUAACUUCUGGAAACGGAAGCUAAUACCGGAUGAUGACGUAAGUCCAAAGAUUUAUCGCCCAAGGAUGAGCCCGCGUAGGAUUAGCUAGUUGGUGAGGUAAAGGCUCACCAAGGCGACGAUCCUUAGCUGGUCUGAGAGGAUGAUCAGCCACACUGGGACUGAGACACGGCCCAGACUCCUACGGGAGGCAGCAGUAGGGAAUAUUGGACAAUGGGGGAAACCCUGAUCCAGCAAUGCCGCGUGAGUGAUGAAGGCCUUAGGGUUGUAAAGCUCUUUUACCCGGGAUGAUAAUGACAGUACCGGGAGAAUAAGCUCCGGCUAACUCCGUGCCAGCAGCCGCGGUAAUACGGAGGGAGCUAGCGUUGUUCGGAAUUACUGGGCGUAAAGCGCACGUAGGCGGCUAUUCAAGUCAGAGGUGAAAGCCCGGGGCUCAACCCCGGAACUGCCUUUGAAACUAGAUAGCUUGAAUCCAGGAGAGGUGAGUGGAAUUCCGAG
Molecule: ribosomal RNA, 571 nt
Filed under: uncultured Alphaproteobacteria bacterium
Lineage: Bacteria; Pseudomonadati; Pseudomonadota; Alphaproteobacteria
Description: bacterial SSU rRNA
Rfam family: Bacterial small subunit ribosomal RNA
Source: RNAcentral